GUUUCGGGAGCUGGGUAUAUAGCGGGAGUUUUGUAGUCUUCAGUUGGUAAAGGUGUUUAUUCGUUAUU
Molecule: transfer RNA, 68 nt
Filed under: Cephalodiscus hodgsoni
Lineage: Eukaryota; Metazoa; Hemichordata; Pterobranchia; Cephalodiscida; Cephalodiscidae
Description: tRNA-Thr
Source: RNAcentral